This is a non-coding RNA of Dermacentor andersoni, 996 nucleotides long. NCBI's taxonomy places the organism in Eukaryota, Metazoa, Arthropoda, Arachnida, Ixodida, Ixodidae. The record is from RefSeq and is a predicted model, not a curated record.
CCUGCAGCAGGUUCCUUUCAUUUGGAAACAGUCUGCUGCCAAGGGUGACACCUGCGUGGAUUUGAAAAAGCAGAGGUCAAUGCGCGCUCCAGUGACUGUGCAUCCCGACGUGAUCAGGCGCAUCGCGCUUUUCUGGCUUUUCUAAAGUGCUUCAUUUCGAUGAAACGUCUUUUCAAGUUCCUAGACCCUACGACUGUCGCACUGCUCCUCACCGGCAACAUUCCCAAGAUCCAUCCAUCAGAGACGGCGAUGAAUUAUCCAGCCCCGUGGUGUAAGAAGCCCUGCAGUGCACUCAAAACAAUAAGGGUCGAACGCUAUGAAAGUGGCGCCUCCGCGUCAAAGCUACUGAAGGCAAAAUUUAAAGUACGGUUCACCAUGAUGCAGAUUGUUCCUGCAGGCAUUGUACCUGCAUACUCGAUCACAGCAAGUUGCAGGCGUGUCUAAGACCAGCUGCACAAUUCAUAGAAACUAUCGUAUAGGCAAGGCUAAACUAACAUGAAAAUGGGCAUGGUUUGCGAUUUGUGACAAGGAAUGUGCCACGACAUGAGGAGAGAGGCACGUAUUUGCCGCCGAAUAGAUAAUCAACGUUACCAACCACUUUUGGAGAAAAUGCCAGACUUGGCCGCUCAAAACCCUUCCACGAGCAUACGAGGCUCUCGCCUUUACCGUGUGUACAUAUAUUUCGUUCAACUACUCUUACAUAUAAUUUCAAAAAGACAUGAGUUUAUACAAACAAACAAGCGGUAAAUGAAGUACUGAAAGAACCAGACAGACUUUAUUCUACGUUUUCAAUUGUUUACGGUGUUACAAAUUGCGAAAUAUGUGCUUUCGUUUAGCUACCUUUAUUAGCAAGAUUCACAACUUGCAAAUUCUUGUUCAAGCUUAGAUUCUAUUAGUGAGAAUGCUCUAUAACCUGGAACGAUUCUCCCGCCUAAUUUAUCGCUUUGAAAAUUCGAAAAAAAGAAACCUGAACGUUAGGGUUGCUUUCUACAUGAA